GGGAAAUUAGUUUUUCAUCAUUCAAUAACAAUUUUAACAAACCCUGCCUGUUGUCUCUUAACAAAAAGCCAAUAUGAAUGCCCUUCAAGAUAUAUCAACCUUAUUGACCUCUUUAAUUAUAUACAGGGUGGGGCCUCUCGUUCAGACAUUAAUUACACUCAUGGAUCAUCGUCUCCCUUUUGAAUAACUGUUCAUCCUGUACAAUCGUCAUCAACUCCAGGAGUUUGUGGCAACCUUUAGGGCUGAGCCCCUUUCGAUGUUGCAUCCCAAACAAGCUGCAUGCAGAGGUGUGUGGAGCGGCAGGCGGGCUUCUGGAAGAAGAAUGGAAGAACAGCUUUGACUGCGCAAAAGGUCUUGUGGCUGUUGAUCGGCUGCAUCCUCACACGGUUUCUCAGCCAAUGGAGGAUCAUGUCAAGGUCGAGUUCAGGUUCAGGCUGUUGGCGGGACGUUCUGAAAGUGAGUAUCGGUACCAAUGCAGUUUAAUCAAUUAGGCUUUAUUGUUUAUGUGUAUGCACUCCGUGUCACAAUUAAGAAAAUAAAACAAAUAUGGAUUACGGCAACUUUUGCCAUUCAUUUC
Molecule: long non-coding RNA, 577 nt
Organism: Gasterosteus aculeatus aculeatus (three-spined stickleback)
Lineage: Eukaryota; Metazoa; Chordata; Actinopteri; Perciformes; Gasterosteidae
Source: Ensembl